RNAcentral lists this ribosomal RNA (253 nucleotides) under uncultured bacterium. RNAcentral describes it as "partial 16S ribosomal RNA". It matches the Rfam family "Bacterial small subunit ribosomal RNA", at positions 524 to 776 of the family's 1533-position model. The record is from RNAcentral.
UACGGGGGGGGCAAGCGUUGUCCGGAAUCACUGGGCGUAAAGGGCGCGUAGGCGGCCUGGUAAGUAGGGGGUGAAAUCCUGCGGCUUAACCGCAGGGCUGCCUUCUAAACUGUCAGGCUUGAGCACGGUAGAGGCAGAUGGAAUUCCCGGUGUAGCGGUGGAAUGCGUAGAGAUCGGGAAGAACAUCAGUGGCGAAGGCGACAUCCUGGACCGGUAUUGACGCUGAGGCGCGAAAGCCAGGGGAGCAAACGGG